CAGUCGCCGCGGUAAUACGGAGGAUCCAAGCGUUAUCCGGAAUCAUUGGGUUUAAAGGGUCCGUAGGCGGUCUUGUAAGUCAGUGGUGAAAGCCCAUCGCUCAACGGUGGAACGGCCAUUGAUACUGCAGGACUUGAAUUAUUGGGAAGUAACUAGAAUAUGUAGUGUAGCGGUGAAAUGCUUAGAGAUUACAUGGAAUACCAAUUGCGAAGGCAGGUUACUACCAAUUGAUUGACGCUGAUGGACGAAAGCGUGGGUAGCGAACAGGAUUAGAGACCCCGGUAGUCCCUGUCUCUUAUAA
RNAcentral lists this ribosomal RNA (301 nucleotides) under uncultured bacterium. Its description in RNAcentral is "partial 16S ribosomal RNA". It matches the Rfam family "Bacterial small subunit ribosomal RNA", at positions 509 to 809 of the family's 1533-position model. The record is from RNAcentral.